UGAUAUCUAACAUUGCUAAUAUAAUAUGGUCACAAGUGACCAACAGUGGCAGAUAAUUUAGCUAUGGGUGCUAUACUGUGAGAUUAGGCUAACGCAUUGCCUGAUCAGAGCAAAAUUUGGCAUUGGCUUUCCUUUCUUUUCAGGGAGGUGCCUGAGAGCCUUGACUUCUAAGUCUCUGGCCCAGGAUCCCAGCAAUGGCGGAUGGGGCAUUGAGAGUCAUGUUUUUGUGCAGCCUAGAGGGUUCCCUUCUUUUAGUAAUGUCUUCACUGGAGACUGUAGACAAGUGAGAAGCAAACCAGCCAAGAAUAGGCUAUGUAAAAAUGAAAGCUCUCUGGAAACAUAAAUGCGUACCACUAAGUGAAAGAAGCUACUCUGAAAAGGCUACAUACUACAUGAUUCCAACUAUACGGUGUCCUGGAAAAGGCAAAACUGUGGGGACAAAAAAAAAGAUCAGUGGCUUCCAGGGGUUAGGGGGCAGAGAGGGGUGAGUAGGCAGAGUGCAGAGGAAUUUUAGGGGAGUGAAAAUACUCUGUAUGAUACCAUAAUGGUGGAUACAUGUCAUUGUACAUUUGUCAAAACUCACAGAAUGUACAACACCACGAAUGAACCCCAGUGUAAGCUACGGACUUUGGAUGAUAAUGGUGUCAGUGCAAAUGUUAUUAAUUAUAAACAAAUGCACCACUGUGGUUGAGAAUGUGUAGUGUGGGAAGUUGUGCAUGUGUGGGGACUCUGUGUUCCAUAUGAUUCAAUAAUUCUACUUCUGUGUGUAUCUUCAAAAGAAUUUAAACUAAGCAGUCAAAUAGAUAUUUACACACCCAUGUUCAUGGCAGCAUUAUUCACAGUAACCAAGAGGUGGAAAUAAUUCAAGUGUCCCUCAACAGGUAUUGGAUAAACAAAAUAGAGUAUAUCCAUACAAUGAAAUACUAUUCAGCCUUAAAAGGAAAAGUAAUUCUGACGCAUACUACAACCUGGCUGAACUUUGAGGAUGUUAUGAUAAGUGAAAUAAGCAAGACACAAAAAGACAAUUACUGCAGGAUGCCUCUUCCAUGAACUACCCAGAGCUGUCAAGUUCAGAGACAGAAGCACUUUUCCUGUCCAAGUCAAAACUGGUUCUCUUCCACAUCCAAAGUGUGUGGGGACGACAAGAGACACUGGCUCAUCACCCGGCUCCCAGAGAAACACAAUGGAGGUAACCUUAAGGCGAGAGCUUCCUUUUUCCUGGCUUUGGAAAGGAGCCCAGCCAAGUGAGUGACCUGGGAGCUUAAGCUUCAACGGCUUCGUGGUAAAUGGCUGCUGCCCAAAUAAAACCUUUACCUCAAGCUACGCAUUCGAAACUGGAAGAAGGCAUUCGUUCUUGCCUAGGGAGAGCCUUCCUGGGAGGUGGCUCAUCAAACCCUCGUGUUUUUUUCCCCUCCUGCCUCCCACAGACACCUGGUAUCAGUUCCAAAAGAUGCAUUUUAGUGCCUUUAAGCAAAACUAGUUCUUCUGCCUGGGUGAACUCUGACACUGAACUUUCUGUUUCCAGCCCCCUUAAAAAACCUUCAUCAAAUUUCCACCACGCAAAGGUUGAAGUGUUUCGGUCACCGAAGCGGUUCAGUGAUGAUCGCGGUGGCUGUUUCUUACAGGGGAUACUCGUCCAUUCAUUCAUUCAUUCAUUAGUUCGUUCAUUCAACAGACACGUAGCAAGUUCUGCAGUGUGACAGACAUUGCGCCUGAAGGCAGAGCAAACACAGUCACCGUUGCGGCCAUCUCGGAGACUCACAUCGAAUAAAUCAUAAACAAACGUAAUCUUGCCACACUCACUUGAAUAAAAGGCACAGACCUGACCUCUAUAUUCAGCCACUAUGCAAAUACGCUGCUGGGUCAGUGUGAAGGUAUUUAAAGGCGUCCACGUGACAUUCUCCUCAGAUGGCCCCUAUCCUGUCCUUCCCUCUGCUGACGCAAAGGCCUUCUCACCCGUCAGAAGGUGAAGCCUUGUCCCUGCCUUGAAUGGGGCUGGCCUAGGAACUUGCUUUGAGCCCGAGAACGCUGUGAAGGGAUCUGUGUGAGACAGUUUGGGGCCAACGCCUUAAGAGAAAUGAUGGCCUUCCGCGACUUCCCUUUCCAAGUCAUCUGCCGCAGACAGAGCCAAAAUCCCGAGACCACAGUGCUGUGAGGAAGCCAAGCCAGCAGCGGGGAGAGGCCACACGGAGAGAGGGAUGUUCAGCCGGGUCCCAACUCUUCAGCCUUCCCAGCUGAGACGUCAGACGUGACUGAAGAAGGCCAUCUCCUCUCGGGGCAUUCUUCUCCCAGUGGACACCACGUGAAACAGGAAAACCACCCAGAGGAAACCAGCGCACAUUGCAAAAGAAGAAUAAAUGGUUAUGAGGCAUUGGACAUGGUGAUCCCCUUUUGGGACAAGCUGGCUCCCACUGUAAACGGAAGACCCUUGAUGUCCCCCAUGGUGUGUGUGACCUAGGACUGCGAGAUUUAGCAAACGGAGAAACGAAACGGAGGGAGGGGCAGCAUUGACGGCUGAGAUGAAUGAUGUCCUGGCCUCGCUGUUCCUGGAUGCAGGCCCCCGUCAACUGGGGCAACCUUGAGUGAGGCUCUGCUUCUUGCCACAUGGCACAGGGGCCAGUGAGCAGCCCGUUCCGAGUAGGAUGAUGUAUGUGGACGCGAGGAAUGCAUUUUCAUCAAUCACUUGAACUGAAGGCAUGCGUUUUUUGCUGGACUGAAAAUUGGUAUUUUUGUCUUUUUUUCAAGAGGAUUGUUGGAUCCGUGUGCUCAGAUUCAUAACUGGCAUUGCUCCCUUGUCUUGGAAACAGUGUGUGAGAGAACAUUGCGUUCUUGGAAUCAGAAACUGGUUCCCGAGUUCAGCCUUCAUCCACACAAGGUCUACAGGAAGAGGCAAAAUUUGAGAGAUGGGAAAUUGCGCCCAUGGAGUCAUCAAGGGGUCAUCACUGAGGUAGCAGAUUUAGGACCCAGGUGGAUGGGAUAAUUGCCACCUCUUCCCCCUGAACCAGCAAGUGUGCUUCCAAUUUCAUCAACAGAAAGGGGACCUGGGGAAGAAAAAUGGCUUUACCCUUAUGUAUCUUUUGGUCUGUUGCUGACCCUGCCACAGGCCUUUUGGGAUGUGAGAAUGGUCUCAGUGUGUAUGCAGCCUGCCUUUUUUUUUUUUUUUUUUUUUUUUU
Molecule: long non-coding RNA, 3173 nt
Organism: Felis catus (domestic cat)
Lineage: Eukaryota; Metazoa; Chordata; Mammalia; Carnivora; Felidae
Exons: 8
Source: RefSeq, a predicted model, not a curated record